Molecule: ribosomal RNA, 424 nt
Filed under: uncultured bacterium
Lineage: Bacteria
Description: bacterial SSU rRNA
Rfam family: Bacterial small subunit ribosomal RNA
Source: RNAcentral
GGGGAAUUUUGGACAAUGGGGGAAACCCUGAUCCAGCAAUGCCGCGUGAGUGAAGAAGGCCUUCGGGUUGUAAAGCUCUUUUGUCAGGGAAGAAACACCGGCUCUAACACAGUCCGGGAAUGACGGUACCUGAAGGAUAAGCACCGGCUAACUACGUGCCAGCAGCCGCGGUAAUACGUAGGGUGCGAGCGUUAAUCGGAAUUACUGGGCGUAAAGCGUGCGCAGGCGGUUAUACAAGACAGGCGUGAAAUCCCCGGGCUUAACCUGGGAAUGGCGCCUGUGACUGUAUAGCUAGAGUGUGUCAGAGGGGGGUAGAAUUCCACGUGUAGCAGUGAAAUGCGUAGAUAUGUGGAGGAAUACCAAUGGCGAAGGCAGCCCCCUGGGAUAACACUGACGCUCAUGCACGAAAGCGUGGGGAGCAAAC